Molecule: non-coding RNA, 30 nt
Filed under: Mus musculus (house mouse)
Lineage: Eukaryota; Metazoa; Chordata; Mammalia; Rodentia; Muridae
Source: RNAcentral
UUCGAGCUGAUCAGUCCGAAUGAGGUAAGA